This 468-nucleotide ribosomal RNA is filed under the name uncultured bacterium. RNAcentral's name for it is "partial 16S ribosomal RNA". It matches the Rfam family "Bacterial small subunit ribosomal RNA", at positions 28 to 507 of the family's 1533-position model. The record is from RNAcentral.
GACGAACGCUGGCGGCGUGCUUAACACAUGCAAGUCGAACGGAAAGGCCCUGCUUUUUUGGGGUGCUCGAGUUGCGAACGGGUGAGUAACACUUGAGUAACCUGCCCUUGACUGUAGGGUAACUUCAGGAAACUGGGGCUAAUACCGGAUAGGAUCUCCUGCUGCAUGGUGGGGGUGCGUAAGUUUCGGCGGUUGGGGAUGGACUCGCGGCUUAUCAGGUUGUUUGGUGGGUAGUGGCUUACCAAGGCUUUGACGGGUAGCAGGGCUGAGAGGGUAACCGGACAAAUUGGGAUUGAACUGCGGCACAGCCUAGACCGGGAGGGAGGAGAGGAGAAGAGAGCACAGUGCGAUGAAGGAUAAUGUAGCAAAGCAGUGCGCGGGAUGACGGGAUGGGGGUUGUAAAGCGAUUUCGCCUGUGACGAAGCGUGAAUGACGGUAAUGGGUAAAGAAGCACCGGCUAACUACGUG